UACGGAGGGUGCGAGCGUUGUCCGGAAUCACUGGGCGUAAAGGGCGCGUAGGCGGCCUGAUAAGUAGGGGGUGAAAUCCUGCGGCUUAACCGCAGGGCUGCCUUCUAAACUGUCGGGCUAGAGCACGGUAGAGGCAGAUGGAAUUCCCGGCGUAGCGGUGGAAUGCGUAGAGAUCGGGAAGAACAUCAGUGGCGAAGGCGGUCUGCUGGGCCGUUGCUGACGCUGAGGCGCGACAGCGUGGGGAGCAAACAGG
RNAcentral lists this ribosomal RNA (253 nucleotides) under uncultured bacterium. Its description in RNAcentral is "partial 16S ribosomal RNA". It matches the Rfam family "Bacterial small subunit ribosomal RNA", at positions 524 to 776 of the family's 1533-position model. The record is from RNAcentral.